Non-coding RNA from Pelobates cultripes (western spadefoot toad), 250 nucleotides. The record is from the annotation of a GenBank genome assembly. Lineage: Eukaryota; Metazoa; Chordata; Amphibia; Anura; Pelobatidae.
GGAAGAUGAGCCUCGCCGCCACAUUCAUUAGGGACUGUAACGGCGCUAGUUGGGAACAUGUAAGACCACUGAGAAGCGGCUUACAGUAGUCAAGGCGAGAAAGGACAGUGGAAUGGACUAACACCUUAGUUGCAUCUGGCAUUAAGUAGGGGCAGAUGCACGCAAUGUUUUUGAGAUGGAAAUUACAGGAUUUGGUGAUAGAUUGAACAUGAGGCUUGAAGGAGAGGUCGGAGUCAAAGAGAACACCUAG